Pan troglodytes (chimpanzee) is the source of this 3300-nucleotide RNA transcript. It is a transcript of the gene named SIGLEC family-like protein 1, with no coding region annotated. The record is from RefSeq and is a predicted model, not a curated record. NCBI's taxonomy places the organism in Eukaryota, Metazoa, Chordata, Mammalia, Primates, Hominidae. The transcript is spliced from 10 exons.
GGCUUCACGGGGUUGGUGUCCCCGUGCAAGGAGGUUGGCGAGGCCUCAGGGGACUCCCAGUUCAGCGAAUCCGUUAGCCUUCCUCUACCUUAGUCACUUCCCCGUGAGGCACUCCGUGUUUGUGUACACGGUUAUUCCACGUGUCAGUCAGUUCAUCGGGCGCAUCUGGAGUCAUUGAAAACAGUAAUAGGAAGUCAAACAAACCCGCUUGAUGCAAAAAUUCAGGAGGACAUUCGGUUUUUAAGGAAAUAGUGCUGAGGAAGGACCAGGCUGGACCUCUUUGGACCCUGAGACUGGGAGCUAUUGUUCCAGCUCAGACUUCAUCCUCUUUCUCCUGGACUGUUGCUUCCUCCUCAUUGCAGACCCAGAGGGACCUUUAGAACACCCAAACCCGUUCUCCCAUGGUUCAAGACCAUUCCAUAAUUUCCAUGACUUCCCCCAUUGACGUGGGAGGGAGUCCGAGCUCCUCAGCUUGGCAUUUGAGGCUCUUUGAAGAGGGUCUCGCUCUGUUGCCCAGGCUGGAUGGAGUACAGUGUUGUGACCACAGCUCACUACAGCCUCAACCUCCCAGGCACAAGAGAUCCUCCCACCUCAGCCUCCUGAGUAGCUGGAACUACAGGACAGACCAAUCUGAGGUCAGAGUUAGCAGCAGGAUACAUCCUGGUCCUCUCUUGCCCCUGAGAUCUCGCUGGGGCUGAUGGCACUGCCACUGCUAUGGUUGGAGCUAACCCAAAAGCCAGAGCUCCACAUGCCAGAGAUUCUUUUGGCUGAGAAGACUGUGACCUUGAACUGUACCCUCAAAGGCACCUGCAAAGAAACCAAAGCCCUCUUCCACUCCCGGAAGAACCCAGCCAUCUCCAGCAGCUCCUCCUCGGUGCUGCACUUCACCCUGAGGCCUGAGGACCAUGGCAACACCCUUGGAUGUCACUUGAACUUAUCGCUAGCCAACGUGACCAGAAGUAGCUUGGUCAAGCUCCAAGUGGUCUCACCUGCCAGGUUGUUCAAUUCCUCUUGUUCCUUGGAGAAGACAGUUCUGUGCAGCUGUUCCUUCCACGGGAUCCCCACGCCCUCCGUGCAGUGGUGGAUGGGAGGUGUCCCUGUGGCUGUGAACAGCAUGGAUAACAUCCUCCGGGUGACUUCUUCCACACGUGCCCCCUGGGCCAACAGCACCAUCAGCCUCACUGGGGAGCCAGAAAGAGUCAUGAGACUUCACUGUGAGGGGAAGAACCAAUAUGGAAUUCACACUUCCAGCAUCUUCCUGAUACCAAAUAAGAAAUCAGUUUCCAGUGUGUUCGUGAAAGGAUUAAUCCAGGGCAUUGUAUAUGGAGCCAUUGCAUUCUCAUUGUUCUUCUUCUGCCUCGUCCUCUUGUCACCAAGAAGUAGGACGUGCCCACUGCAGAAGGCUCCCUUCCACGUACCUCCUGCUGGAUCUCCAUGACAUGUCUCCUCCCGGACUCUCCCCAACCAGAGUAAUUACAAUUCUCACAUCUGUUGCCAUGGAUCAUUUUUGCCAGGUCAACCAGAAAACAGGAAAGUCUAGUGGUGACGCUCCUCUAGUCCCAUCAGGUUGAGUGUGAGCACACACUCAGGAGGGCAGCACUCUGAGCAUUUGCAUCUUCCACUGGGUAAGCAAAGGCCAGCCCAGAGUCAACGUCUAUUCCUGUCAAGACCCAUUUGUAGCCCCCCAGGGCUGCUAGCAUAAGCCUCACUUGCCAGCCGUGCUUGGGACCUUCCCACCAGGGAAUCUGGCCCAUAGCCAUCUGCAGUUUCUGUCUCUCCUGCUGGCAGACAGAACAGUUCUUAGUGGCAUUAUGUGCCUGAGAGGGUGCAAUAGAAACAUAUUUAGAUUCAGCCCAUCUCUGCACUGCUGCAGUGCCCUCAUGUCCUCUCAUUUCAUGCACCCAGGUGGCCACCUUAAGUGAGCACACAGGGAUAUCUGCUUGUCGAUUUCAAUCACCUUCCAGACCUGGAAGAGAGCUCUUCUGGUGGGCAUUGACAUGUCCUACCUUAAGGACCCCUCAAAUUUCCAAAGGGCUGUGUGUGUCCCAUAUGGACAUCCCUUUAAUAGGCUAGGUUUCCAUUAUCCACCUGCUUGACUAUAUGGCCAAGCCAUUGGCCACCGCCUGUGAGUCAGUAAAAACCCACACGGAAGGGCUUUUACCACUGUUCAAUUCUUCAGCAUGCCAUUCAGCUCACCGGACGGAUUUGUUUUUAUCUUCUUUGAUCAGAAUGGCAUCCUUCUAAAUAGAACGUGGUCUUUUCAUCUUGGCACUGUCAUCUGCACACCAAGCAGCUCUUUGUUGGCUAGUUGAGAGCUGUUUAUAGGGCACUGUCCAAGUGGCAGUAGGAUCCAGCUGCUCCCCAUACGCUUCCAGAGUCAGUCCGAGGGAGAAAGAGGCUCCUUUUUCAUUAGUAUCUCCUCCUUGCAUUCCCUAGGUAGCAAGAUCCUGUAUAAAUCAUUUCUAAUUUAUUAGGGGACUCUUCUGGGCAUUUAAAUCUCCAUUAGAGUGUUUUUAAACAUAAUCCAAGAUAUUAUUGGUAUUUCAGGCUUCAAGAUCAUUUUAUGUCCUCAGUCAUAGGGGUAGCUUGAAUUAAUAUCCCAUAGAAAGUAGUAUUAUGCUCUUCAAAUUGAAAUUCUGUAGUCCAGAGUCUCAGUAGUUGUCACUGGAAGGUGCUUUUAGGCUGUUCCCAUAGGCCCCAGUCUGGGUUCCAUACAGGGCUCUGUCUCAGAGAAUUUGUCCAUAGCAUCACUCUGUCUUCUAUUCUACAUUUUGUGGGCUCCAGAGAUCUGACUGGUUCCUAUUUAGCAUGUCCAAUUAAUAUUGAUUAAAGGCAGAUUUACAUGGCUUUUGUUUCAUAAUGCUAGGUAUGGGAAACAUUUCCCAGUCUGAUACAACAUCCAUCCCCAUAAUAUAAUCAGGUAAAAUCACUUCAGAGAAAAUGUGUUCAAAUAUACCAACUCUCCUAUAAAGGUUUAUCUUAAUUCCACCAACCCUCACUUUCCUAACUGUAGCCUCUAUUAGAACUUUAUUAAUGGGUUUUGGUUUCACAAUACUACAACCCUUAAAUUUUUAUGUUCUCUCAAUCUAAUCCCAAGUCAGGACUUCACCAAUGGAUGUUGGUACCAUAGUCAGUGGACCUCCCAUAUCAAGAUGUCCCAAGAAUUUCUCUUCUGCAUCCCUGAUCAUUUUGUCCACUUGUGUACAUAAGGCUUUAGGUCCCCAUCAGGGCGAUGAGCAUAAGAACUCUUGCUUGUUGGUUAAUCUUUAUCUUGAUUAAAAUGCCAGACUAUCACCCCAG